GGGGCGGUAGCUCAGCUGGCUGGAGCGCUGCGCUCACAUCGCAGAGGUCGGGGGUUCGAGUCCCUCCCGCCCCA
RNAcentral lists this transfer RNA (74 nucleotides) under Gemmatimonadota bacterium. RNAcentral describes it as "tRNA-Val". It matches the Rfam family "tRNA". From Rfam's summary of the family: Transfer RNA (tRNA) molecules are approximately 80 nucleotides in length. Lineage: Bacteria; Pseudomonadati; Gemmatimonadota. RNAcentral also lists the same sequence under 3 other names. The record is from RNAcentral.